RNAcentral lists this small RNA (645 nucleotides) under Pan troglodytes (chimpanzee). Its description in RNAcentral is "sense intronic". The record is from RNAcentral. Lineage: Eukaryota; Metazoa; Chordata; Mammalia; Primates; Hominidae.
AGACAAAUAACACAUUAUUGAAAUGCCCUGAUAAGUGCUUUUCAUAGAUAAUACUAUGGAAUUACAGAGGAGGGGCACUUAAUCCAGACUGGGAGGGGCAUAAAAGAGGAAGGCACUACUUCCCAUAACAAGAAGUUCUACAUUGGGACCACACCACUCCAGGAUUGAUUCAUUCAAUGGCUCACAAAUCUGCCAUCCUCAGGACCCAGUGAUGUCCAAGGACUGAAAAGGAUUGUGUGUCUCUACUUAUUAGCUUGAGAAACCUUGCCAGAGGUCCUUGGAUGCUUUCUACUCACAUCUAUUUGCCCAAAUUAGAUAUAUCCCUGGCAAGGUGAAUGAGUGCCUUAGAUCAGUCCCAAUUCCCUUCUGUAGGCCUGAAGCUAGAGAGACUUAGCAGGAAGAUGGAACUUACCCAAAAGUAGAGCUCUGCCAGCAUGGGAAAAAGGAAAAGUGCCUGCAAGAGGAAAAACAACAAAGAGAGAGAGGUGGAGAGGAACACGCCAAAGAAAGAGAGAGAGCCCACACUAUCCUAAGCUCCUGAAUGCACUGUGACAUCCAGAUGUCCUGGGGAAGACAUAAAUACAUCAUACAGCACCCACAGGAACCUCAAGAGACUGGAGUUAAUAAAGAGAUUAAAGAGAUUAA